GAAAUGAACCAAGAUGAGUUUAGUAGCAAACAAAAGGUUUUCAUUAGCAUUUUGUGUAGCCUGUUAAGCCUAUGUGAGACUAAAAUGGAUUUUACUUAAUUGGAGAAGCGAACAAUAUUCAAAUCAUUGUCAUCAAAACAUUUUGAGGAGCUGAUGGAAGAAGCUGAAAGAGAACUUGACGAACUUGAACACCUUCAUGAGGAACCAGGAAAAAGCAGCAAGAGUGAUGAGAAGGAUUCGUGGUCGUCGUACGUAUCGCACAUUUGUUGCGCGAGUUAACCAUUUUCCACCAAGUGUUGCAGUUAUAUGGCGUAGACCCAACGCUUAUCGCCCAAGCUUUCCGCCAGGUGUUCUAUUACAUUUGUGCGUGCGCAUUAAACAACCUCCUACUGCGUAAAGAAAUGUGUCACUGGUCGAAAGGCAUUCAGAUUCGGUACACAUCUCCCAUCUUGAAAAAUGGCUGCGUGACCAGGAUAUUCAUGGACAGGACACUAUGAGUGCUUGUAUCGUAGAUACCCUGCAGCCUAUUAUCCAAGCCGCAUGGUUGUUACAUUUGUUACAAGCUAGAGAAUCCGACGAUGACGUCAGGCAUAUUUGCACCAUGUGUUCCCGAUUAACCAGCGCUCAGAUCAUCAUGAUUCUGAAUCUGCACACGCCAGCUGAUGAAUUGGAAGAUCGAAUUCCCAUUUCUUUUAUCCGCAAAGUGCAAUAAGAAUUGGAAAAACGAAUCGACCCGCAGUCACAGAGCAAAUUGCUAAUGGAUACCAAACACGCAUUUACGGUGCGUUUCCCGUACAGUCCAUCAUCAAUCAAUUUAGAAGACAUAGACAUUCCGACCGUAGUAAAUCUACCAAUGUUGAAGAAGGUUUAAGAUCAUUUCUUCCUCCCCAUGCAGAUGUGUUAUGUUCUUAUCGAAGCAUUCCGUUGGUGUGUGUUAAGUAUUGAGGAACGAAAUGUGUUUGGCUGCAAACGUCUCGAAGCUAACUGCGGCCAUUUGUUCUAUGUAAAAUAAGAAGAAAUGAGUUAUCAUUGAUACUAAGUACAGUUUAAUAAGAAAAGAACAAUGAAUUGAUCUGCCAAAUAUUUCUGUUAGUGACCUGCUUUGGACUCACGAUAUUUGCGAAAACAGAGAACUAUAUAUUUUUACUUACAAACGUUAUGUUUGAUGCUUUUAGGAUAUGCCUGCAGCUAUGGAACAAGGUCGAUUUUAAUGUUUUUUUCAUUCCCAUGUUCAUUCAUAAUACUCGAGUGCUCGCACAACGGAUCGCUAUUAAAACUCCUCUGCUUGUGUGAUCACUGUGAUGAAUCUGAUUUGAAUGUGACAUGGCAUUCUUUUUCAGCUUUUUGUCUUUCACGUUUCUUUGCAGUUUUAGGUGAAUUUUAAGAUUUUUGUAAUAUUUUGAUUUCAGAAUAAAUAUCGUAAAUCUUC
This 1429-nucleotide long non-coding RNA is filed under the name Daphnia pulicaria. RNAcentral's name for it is "uncharacterized LOC124319513, transcript variant X2". The record is from RNAcentral. Lineage: Eukaryota; Metazoa; Arthropoda; Branchiopoda; Diplostraca; Daphniidae.